Long non-coding RNA from Sinocyclocheilus anshuiensis, 104 nucleotides. RefSeq lists it as uncharacterized. The record is from RefSeq and is a predicted model, not a curated record. Lineage: Eukaryota; Metazoa; Chordata; Actinopteri; Cypriniformes; Cyprinidae. The transcript is spliced from 3 exons.
UCCAGAAGGACUGACGCUUUAAGAAACCUCCUGCAAAACUCCUGAGAAACUCUGCUCAAGUGCACCGAGGCCAAAAGCUGCUUUAAACACAAAGGAUGCUCACA